GUGCUCACUUCGGAAGCACAUAUACUAAAAUUGGAACGAUACAGAGAUUAUCAUGGCCCCUGUGCAAGGGUGACGCACAAAUUCGUGAAGCAUUCAGUAUUUUU
Small nuclear RNA from Neofelis nebulosa (Clouded leopard), 104 nucleotides. The record is from RefSeq and is a predicted model, not a curated record. Lineage: Eukaryota; Metazoa; Chordata; Mammalia; Carnivora; Felidae.